Alosa sapidissima (American shad) is the source of this 273-nucleotide long non-coding RNA. RefSeq lists it as uncharacterized. The record is from RefSeq and is a predicted model, not a curated record. NCBI's taxonomy places the organism in Eukaryota, Metazoa, Chordata, Actinopteri, Clupeiformes, Clupeidae. The transcript is spliced from 3 exons.
UUCUUUCAUUUCCAGCUCUUCAUCCUCAUCAUUAUGCUCAUACUCUCCACUUCUGACCAAAAAAUGGCAAAAACAGCUCACUUGACCACAUUUUAUUAUACUAGUUAGUCCGUGAGCCAGAGGGGUUGGUCGUUACCGAAAAAGUGGCAAAGGCUACCAUACCUUUUCUGAAACCCUGGAAUCUCAGCUUACCAAUGAUGUAUGAUGGCCAUCUGACAAGAGUAGCUGUUUUGAGUUAUCACACAUAAUGUAAACUAAGGUUGAGAAAAUAAU